RNAcentral lists this long non-coding RNA (2207 nucleotides) under Paramuricea clavata. The record is from RNAcentral. Lineage: Eukaryota; Metazoa; Cnidaria; Anthozoa; Malacalcyonacea; Plexauridae.
UUUGCCUUCUCUUCGACAUAUUUUUAACAUUUGUUUCGAGUUGCACAAGUGGUAAGAAUCAUCCUGGCUAGUGAAAGACAGGGAACGAAUAUUCAAACCUCAAGAAAUUUUGGAAAGACGUUAUUUGUAAAGGUAAAAAAAUACUGUUUAUAUGUUCAAUAUUAAUUUGUGAUAGAGUAUGUCAAAACAAAGCGAAAUAAAUAGCCCAUUUGUACUGUGUAGUGGACAAUUUUAGCAACUGAUGUAUACAAUUAAGUUGCCCAAACUAUAUUAAUACGAGAAACAGUCUUCCUCGAAAGAAAAUGGUUGAAAUUUCAGAUUUUAGUUUCAUUUGUUAUUUCAAAUUUUACGAUAUAAAAUGCCAGUCGACCACCAUCUGCUUCAUGAUCAUACUUAUUAAAAUUAAAGUGGUUUCUAUUAUAUUAGUAUACCUAUAGAGGAAGACCUUUUUAAGCCAGAACUAUCAUGGCUUGGCUUUGAAUGAUUUAAUCCAUGUACUUUAUAACUGGCCACUUAUAUGGCAAUGAAAUUAUAAUGACUAAUGUGUAGAAUUAUCAAGUCUAGAUCCAAAAAUUGGCAGUUUCAUAUAUAAGAUCAGGCAUAUAUAAGAUCAAAGCUAUUUUCAUAUAUAAGAUCAGGUUUAGAGGCCUGUAGCAUUUUCUCUAGAAAUUGCAUGAGUAAAAUCAAUUUCAUAAUUAACCCGUUGAGCCGCAAUGCGCCCUACUUAUUUUUUUACUUGCCAGAUGAUUUUACUUGUCAAUGGGGAAGCUCUGCAGCUUAUCGGUUAACCAAAAAAAACUGACAAUGUCUCUAGUUAACCUAUUGAGCCGCAAUGCGCCCUAGUGUGCCCUACUUUUUUUUUACUUUCUAAAGCCAGACAAUAUUACUCGUCAAUGGGGAAGCUCUGCAGCUUAGUGGGUUAAUUAGAAAAUGAACCAUUCUUGACAUUCACUCAUGAUAUUUGAUGUUGGUAAUUCAUGUAUUUUUGGAGGAAAAUAUUUUAGACAGUGGUUGUUUGCCUGACACCAAACCCCAAUAUUUACAUGCUAUUUGUCUAAGUGAACUAUUUUCCUCAUUUUCAACAUGCCAAAGUGAUACAAAAUAAAUUUCAGUUAAAUUCAAGGAGGUCCUCGGACCCGUAAGUUGUCAACUGACGACUAUCACCUUCAUUGUUAGUUAAGCAUAUAUCUGCUUAAGUCCUGGGUUCAAAUGAGUGGAAUUUCAAGAGCAUUCUGACUGGCUUUGUGCAAACAGGGGGCCUUACCGGUUAGGAUGAGGGCCAGUUGAGGUGUUAGGGUUGGGUGCAGGCAAGGUUCAUGUAAACUUAUUGUUAGCAAGAAUCAGAGAAGGAUUUUCAUAUUUUUGUUCGGGGGGGGGGUAAAUAUCUGGGGGGGUGAUGCUGCUUGCUUUGGCCGGGGCAACGCCUGGAAAGGCCAAGGAAAAAGUUUAACAAAAUUUGUUUUCUAUGUCUGCAUGGCAAGAUCUGAGACCAUAAUAUUGGUAAUUUUACAAAUUUAGUAGUAAGAAUAAUCAAAUAUGAAACUAUCAAAUCAAAAUAUAUAUAAUUUGUGGGGGUGCAAACAAAAACUUUGGGGGGCAGUGCCAAAUGCCUCUUGGGGGGGGGGGGGGUUUGCAAAUAAUUUCUGUGGUACACCCCCCCCCCCCAGAAAAUCUGUGCCUGGCAAGAAUGUUAUGUGUACAUAAUCAUGUGUAAUGUUGUUUGGAUUAAUUGCAUUUAAACGUUGGAAUCCAGUGUCGAACAGUAACCACAACAAUUAUUAUAUAAAGUAUUUGGUUGUUUUAGUGUAAUAUUAAUUUCUCACAUAUUUUUUUCAGAAAUAAAGCACCAUUGAGCAACUUGUUGCGAAAGAGGAGUCACAAACUGUUGAUGAAUAUAUUUAAUUAACUACACAUAAAAUACAAUUUUAUUAACAGUAUAUUGAUUUAUGGGUUUAUUAGACCACAUUAUUUUCAUAUUAUUAAUAAUGAAAAAUAAAAUUAACAAAUAAAUUACAAAAUCAGUGUGAAAAUAUUGCAAUAAUCAAUUAAAAUGUCAAACCAGCCAAUUGUUUCAAAUUAUAGCUGUUAUCGUAAUUGAAUAUGUCUAUGCUAUGGACCAGUGGUAUCUGCAUUAUUUUAACAUCGAGACGAGGCUAUAGGGUCAUGUUUUGUGUUUUUUUACCCUUUAGCCUUGUUUUUGUCCGUAC